This is a long non-coding RNA of Sebastes umbrosus (honeycomb rockfish), 1377 nucleotides long. RefSeq lists it as uncharacterized. The transcript is spliced from 5 exons. The record is from RefSeq and is a predicted model, not a curated record. Lineage: Eukaryota; Metazoa; Chordata; Actinopteri; Perciformes; Sebastidae.
GUCAGUGUGAUACUCAAACACGUCACUAGAUGACGCACAGCGCUGCGGAGGAACGUCAACGACAGAACUCCUGCGGUUGAGCUGAACGCUGAAGCGUUCUACACACAGAUCAUCAGAGUCAGGUGUUAGACCAAUAGGCUGGACUACGCUGAGAAGAAUAAGUGGAGGUGCCAGUGAUUGUCACAUGAUUCCUGCUACUCUAUGAAGAUCGACCUAAUUGGCAUCUUCUAGGUACAUGCUGACAGAAGUUGGGUUUAAAGGAUUUCUCUUCCACAGUCCAUGACUCGGAGCUCCAGGCCCAAACAGAUGACCACGCAGGCCUUGUUGCUGUAAUGAUGUCAGUAGUUUAACCGUGUCUCCAUUACCUAACAUAGUGCUGCAGAGGAAGCCAGAUAUUUCCUCUGCUGUCCAGGGCAAAGCAGGAGCACAGGUAUUAAACCUCAAGCAGUGAAGCGCCACACAGGGGGCUGCAAACAUUCCUCCUCCCUGCUGAUGAGCCUUCACUUCGCCGCCCUGCCCGCCAGUGUUGUAAGUAGUCAUGCAAAGAAACCUGGUGGCGCAGCUAGUCAGCCUUCAAAUUAUUGCCAGGGCAGUCUGUAUUCGAGCUGUCAACGUCUCUCAACAUCUCAGUUUCUUCUGCAUAAAUCAACUUAACAUGUUUUUAAAUCCCCUUCCUCCUCACUUGUAAACAUUACUUUGUUUGUAUGAGCGGAGAGUAAGCAUUGAGGUGAACAAGGCAUGGCGUGAUUGUGAAUGACCGAGCGAAAUCUAUCCUCCAGAGAAUAAUGUAUACCCUGGGCGCUGAAUGGUUUUGAUUAUGAAACAAUCUGUUACUCACGUUGCACGGUUCAUGGCAAAAGCCUGCAAACAUCCUGCCAUAUAUCAAACAACCCUCUGAAUCUGCUUGGCCAGUCACAGAUGUCCAAAUGGCUCUUUCAUCCUGUUUGUCUGGAAAUGUAUCUCUGAUUUACUCUGGUGGCUAAAUUAUAGGCACAUAUGUUUAUAUCCACAAGCUGUGAUUGAUUAUUUUGUUAAGCGUUUUGUCCCUGAGGCAGUUUUUAGUAAUAUGGAAAUGUUGUGCUGCGGCGUAAUGAAAUGCAUUUAUUUUAUGUCUUUAUUCAGAAACCUUUAUGUUUAAAUAUCUAAGCACAAGCUUGAUAAAAAAUAUCACUCUUCAUAGUGUAAUAACACACAUUUCUUCUCUAUAUUAGUUUUGUUCCUGCUGUUUUUGCUGUGCACCUUUCAUCAGUAGAGAAACAGCGUUUAGCCAUCAGGAUGCUGUUUAGUAGACAGUGAUUGAUGGUGUGUUUUGGUCAUGAUGAAAGGAGGUCGAAGCCACAAGGGUCACAUUCUUCUCCUUUAGUCUGAGGAUCUUUA